This is a long non-coding RNA of Selaginella moellendorffii, 318 nucleotides long. RefSeq lists it as uncharacterized. Lineage: Eukaryota; Viridiplantae; Streptophyta; Lycopodiopsida; Selaginellales; Selaginellaceae. The record is from RefSeq and is a predicted model, not a curated record. The transcript has 2 exons.
GGCCUUGCCAGAACUAAAAGAGAUACAGUUUAUUUGAAAAGCCGAAUGCAGCAGCGUCUGGGCUGAGGAUCAAGACGCCUGAGAGUCGCUUGGCAUCUCUAUGUUCGCAGCAAUUUCGAACCGGUUCGUGGGGCAAAGGCCAAGAAAGGCGUUCUCGAGCCAGCCGGAUCCACAGAGCUGUGACAGCUAGUGCUGAACAAAGGAAUGGAGCAUCUGGUGCAUUGUCAAUCCAUACUGAAGAAUCUCAAUUGAGGCUAUGGUGUUCCAGCUCCCCAUUUAACCAUGUCAAUACCCUAUAAAAUCUCUCUCCUGAUCUUG